CCAAGUGUUCGACUUCCAGUACCACACAGAAAACAGCUUAACUAUUAAGAAAUUUCAACAAAAAGAAAAGAUUUGAACUAGACUGUCUGUGAACAUCAAGUUCAUCUUGAAAUUGUCCUCCCCCUUGCUUUCCACAUAACAAGCUUUCUAUGGGUCUCAAUGGCUGAAUGGACCUAAGCACAUAUGUUUUGCUUAAUCAGCAGUCAGGGUGAUGCAGAGACAAUYCACACAGCCUCCGUGAGCUCUGAGCACCCAGCAGCAGGCUCAGAUUUGACAGCUCCACAGGGAACGACUGUGAACAUCUGCAAGACACUACCCCCCACCAGGCAGAACAAAGCAGCUGAAACUGUACCUGAAAGUGCUAAAACACAAAGCUAUCAGGAAAUUGCUCUGAAACUGGAAACCUCCAGGAAAUUGACUGGACAAACUGCACACAACAUCCAAGGCUUAGUCAGAUGCUGACCACAAAUGACAGUGCUGACGAAGCCAGCGACUUCCUCAGGCCACUCCUGCUGCUUCCCUGAGGCUGGUUACCACCCCGGAUACCUGCUGGAUGAGCUACGCCUGUGACUGCUGCCUAACCCAUCUCAGGGAAAAAUGAUUCGAAGUAGUUAAGAUUACUUAAUCUAAUUAAGCAAGACAUGCUAAUACAUUCCCAAAAUAACUUAGAAAGUCAUCUAGAAGGAGCUGUGCUUGCAAGGGUGGGUUUCCAGAAGCUGAGGGGAGGCAACGAGCUGCUGUGGGGCAUGGACGGCUGCGGCAGCACGUUUUCUACCACUGCACUGGGCAGGGAAAACAACACGGGACUCUGGCCUCAUGCACUAUCCCACAGUAAGAUAACCUC
This 844-nucleotide long non-coding RNA is filed under the name Dromaius novaehollandiae (emu). RNAcentral describes it as "lncRNA (ENSDNVG00000016803.1)". Lineage: Eukaryota; Metazoa; Chordata; Aves; Casuariiformes; Dromaiidae. The record is from RNAcentral.